Molecule: ribosomal RNA, 468 nt
Filed under: uncultured bacterium
Lineage: Bacteria
Description: partial 16S ribosomal RNA
Rfam family: Bacterial small subunit ribosomal RNA
Source: RNAcentral
GACAAACGCUGGCGGCGUGCUUAACACAUGCAAGUCGAACGGAAAGGCCCUGCUUUUGUGGGGUGCUCGAGUGGCGAACGGGUGAGUAACACGUGAGUAACCUGCCCUUGACUUUGGGAUAACUUCAGGAAACUGGGGCUAAUACCGGAUAGGAGCUCCUGCUGCAUGGUGGGGGUUGGAAAGUUUCGGCGGUUGGGGAUGGACUCGCGGCUUAUCAGCUUGUUGGUGGGGUAGUGGCUUACCAAGGCUUUGACGGGUAGCCGGCCUGAGAGGGUGACCGGCCACAUUGGGACUGAGAUACGGCCCAGACUCCUACGGGAGGCAGCAGUGGGGAAUAUUGCACAAUGGGCGGAAGCCUGAUGCAGCAACGCCGCGUGCGGGAUGACGGCCUUCGGGUUGUAAACCGCUUUCGCCUGUGACGAAGCGUGAGUGACGGUAAUGGGUAAGGAAGCACCGGCUAACUACGUG